UACGUAGGGUGCGAGCGUUAAUCGGAAUUACUGGGCGUAAAGUGUGCGCAGGCGGCCGCGCAAGUCGAGUGUGAAAGCCCCGAGCUUAACUUGGGAAUUGCGCUCGAAACUACGUGGCUGGAGUGUGGCAGAGGAAGGUGGAAUUCCAGGUGUAGCGGUGAAAUGCGUAGAGAUCUGGAGGAACACCGAUGGCGAAGGCAGCCUUCUGGACCGACACUGACGCUGAGGCGCGAAAGCGUGGGGAGCAAACAGG
RNAcentral lists this ribosomal RNA (253 nucleotides) under uncultured bacterium. RNAcentral describes it as "partial 16S ribosomal RNA". It matches the Rfam family "Bacterial small subunit ribosomal RNA", at positions 524 to 776 of the family's 1533-position model. The record is from RNAcentral.